GGGGGCGUAGCUCAAUUGGGAGAGCACUAGCUUUGCAAGCUAGGGGUCGCCGGUUCGACCCCGGUCGCCUCCACCA
Molecule: transfer RNA, 76 nt
Filed under: bacterium
Lineage: Bacteria
Description: tRNA-Ala
Rfam family: tRNA
About the family: Transfer RNA (tRNA) molecules are approximately 80 nucleotides in length. Their secondary structure includes four short double-helical elements and three loops (D, anti-codon, and T loops).
Source: RNAcentral